RNAcentral lists this ribosomal RNA (497 nucleotides) under uncultured bacterium. RNAcentral describes it as "partial 16S ribosomal RNA". It matches the Rfam family "Bacterial small subunit ribosomal RNA", at positions 28 to 507 of the family's 1533-position model. The record is from RNAcentral.
GAUGAACGCUGGCGGCGUGCCUAAUACAUGCAAGUCGAGCGAACAGAUGAGGAGCUUGCUCCUCUGACGUUAGCGGCGGACGGGUGAGUAACACGUGGAUAACCUACCUAUAAGACUGGGAUAACUUCGGGAAACCGGAGCUAAUACCGGAUAAUAUAUUGAACCGCAUGGUUCAAUAGUGAAAGACGGUUUUGCUGUCACUUAUAGAUGGAUCCGCGCCGCAUUAGCUAGUUGGUAAGGUAACGGCUUACCAAGGCAACGAUGCGUAGCCGACCUGAGAGGGUGAUCGGCCACACUGGAGCUGAGACACGGUCCAGACUCCUACGGGAGGCAGCAGUAGGGAAUCGUCCGCAAUGGGCGAAAGCCUGACGGAGCAACGCCGCGUGAGUGAUGAAGGUCUUCGGAUCGUAAAACUCUGUUAUUAGGGAAGAACAAAUGUGUAAGUAACUAUGCACGUCUUGACGGUACCUAAUCAGAAAGCCACGGCUAACUACGUG